Molecule: ribosomal RNA, 225 nt
Filed under: uncultured Acinetobacter sp.
Lineage: Bacteria; Pseudomonadati; Pseudomonadota; Gammaproteobacteria; Moraxellales; Moraxellaceae
Description: partial 16S ribosomal RNA
Rfam family: Bacterial small subunit ribosomal RNA
Source: RNAcentral
UGCGUAGGUGGCCAAUUAAGUCAAAUGUGAAAUCCCCGAGCUUAACUUGGGAAUUGCAUUCGAUACUGGUUGGCUAGAGUAUGGGAGAGGAUGGUAGAAUUCCAGGUGUAGCGGUGAAAUGCGUAGAGAUCUGGAGGAAUACCGAUGGCGAAGGCAGCCAUCUGGCCUAAUACUGACGCUGAGGAGCGAAAGCAUGGGUAGCGAACAGGAUUAGAUACCCUGGUA